AUUGAACGCUGGCGGCAUGCUUUACACAUGCAAGUCGAACGGUAACAGGCCUUCGGGUGCUGACGAGUGGCGAACGGGUGAGUAAUGCAUCGGAACGUACCCAGAGGUGGGGGAUAACGCAGCGAAAGCUGUGCUAAUACCGCAUGUGAUCUGAGGAUGAAAGCGGGGGACCGAGCAGCAAUGUUUGGCCUCGCGCCUUUGGAGCGGCCGAUGUCGGAUUAGCUAGUUGGUGGGGUAAAGGCCUACCAAGGCGACGAUCCGUAGCUGGUCUGAGAGGACGACCAGCCACACUGGGACUGAGACACGGCCCAGACACCUACGGGAGGCAGCAGUGGGGAAUUUUGGACGAUGCGCGCAAGCCUGAUCCAGCAAUGCCGCGUGCGGGAAGAAGGCCUUCGGGUUGUAGAACGCUUUUGGCAGGAACGAAACGGUGUCCGCUAAUACCGGGCGCUAAUGACGGUACCUGCAGAAUAAGCACCGGCUAACUACGUG
Molecule: ribosomal RNA, 492 nt
Filed under: uncultured bacterium
Lineage: Bacteria
Description: partial 16S ribosomal RNA
Rfam family: Bacterial small subunit ribosomal RNA
Source: RNAcentral